RNAcentral lists this ribosomal RNA (253 nucleotides) under uncultured bacterium. RNAcentral describes it as "partial 16S ribosomal RNA". It matches the Rfam family "Bacterial small subunit ribosomal RNA", at positions 524 to 776 of the family's 1533-position model. The record is from RNAcentral.
UACAGAGGGGGCAAGCGUUGUUCGGAAUUACUGGGCGUAAAGGGCGCGUAGGCGGCCUGCUAAGUCGAACGUGAAAUCCCCGGGCUCAACCCGGGAACUGCGUCCGAUACUGGAUGGCUUGAAUCCGGGAGAGGGAUGCAGAAUUCCAGGUGUAGCGGUGAAAUGCGUAGAUAUCUGGAGGAAUACCGGUGGCGAAGGCGGCAUCCUGGACCGGCAUUGACGCUGAGGAGCGAAAGCCAGGGGAGCAAACGGG